UACGAAGGGGGCUAGCGUUGCUCGGAAUUACUGGGCGUAAAGCGCACGUAGGCGGUUUCUUAAGUCGGGGGUGAAAUCCUGGAGCUCAACUCCAGAACUGCCUUCGAUACUGGGAAACUUGAGUCCAGGAGAGGUGAGUGGAACUGCGAGUGUAGAGGUGAAAUUCGUAGAUAUUCGCAAGAACACCAGUGGCGAAGGCGGCUCACUGGCCCGGUACUGACGCUGAGGUGCGAAAGCGUGGGGAGCAAACAGG
Molecule: ribosomal RNA, 253 nt
Filed under: uncultured bacterium
Lineage: Bacteria
Description: partial 16S ribosomal RNA
Rfam family: Bacterial small subunit ribosomal RNA
Source: RNAcentral